AUUGAACGCUGGCGGCAUGCCUUACACAUGCAAGUCGAACGGCAGCACGGGAGCUUGCUCCUGGUGGCGAGUGGCGAACGGGUGAGUAAUACAUCGGAACGUACCCUGAAGUGGGGGAUAACGUAGCGAAAGUUACGCUAAUACCGCAUAUUCUGUGAGCAGGAAAGAGGGGGAUCGCAAGACCUCUUGCUUUAGGAGCGGCCGAUGUCGGAUUAGCUAGUUGGUGAGGUAAAGGCUCACCAAGGCGACGAUCCGUAGCGGGUCUGAGAGGAUGAUCGCCACACUGGGACUGAGACACGGCCCAGACUCCUACGGGAGGCAGCAGUGGGGGAAUUUUGGACAAUGGGCGCAAGCCUGAUCCAGCCAUGCCGCGUGAGUGAAGAAGGCC
RNAcentral lists this ribosomal RNA (388 nucleotides) under uncultured bacterium. RNAcentral describes it as "bacterial SSU rRNA". It matches the Rfam family "Bacterial small subunit ribosomal RNA", at positions 30 to 416 of the family's 1533-position model. The record is from RNAcentral.